This 294-nucleotide long non-coding RNA is filed under the name Hordeum vulgare. RNAcentral describes it as "long non-coding RNA (HVUL_LNC018747)". The record is from RNAcentral. Lineage: Eukaryota; Viridiplantae; Streptophyta; Magnoliopsida; Poales; Poaceae.
UUGUUUUUUUUGUGUAUUUUCAGUGUUGUUGUGAUAUUUCGUUUUUGAGGAAAUAUUCUAGAUUUGGUUAUUUCCUGUUCUAUCAAUGCUAAUUUGGGAGAUGCCUAAUUUGGCAAGUACUAUGUUAUAAGUGAAUAUGUUGAUAUUUCGAAUUGAAUUGUGGGAGUUUUGCCCAUAGGACCAUAUGCUUAUGAUAGAUGAUUUUAGGGUAGAAUAAUCCAUUGAAUCGAUUGUUAUCAUUGUUUUUAUCAUUUGAGCAAGUUUGCAAAAAGGGUUGUUUUGUGAUAAGGUGGC